RNAcentral lists this transfer RNA (74 nucleotides) under Chloroflexi bacterium B3_Chlor. RNAcentral describes it as "tRNA-Val". It matches the Rfam family "tRNA". Rfam says of the family: Transfer RNA (tRNA) molecules are approximately 80 nucleotides in length. Their secondary structure includes four short double-helical elements and three loops (D, anti-codon, and T loops). Lineage: Bacteria; Bacillati; Chloroflexota. The record is from RNAcentral. RNAcentral also lists the same sequence under 2 other names.
GGGCGGUUAGCUCAGUUGGCUAGAGCGCUACGUUGACAUCGUAGAGGUCGUAGGUUCAAGUCCUAUACCGCCCA